Molecule: transfer RNA, 74 nt
Filed under: Eunotia naegelii
Lineage: Eukaryota; Bacillariophyta; Bacillariophyceae; Eunotiales; Eunotiaceae
Description: tRNA-Met
Rfam family: tRNA
About the family: Transfer RNA (tRNA) molecules are approximately 80 nucleotides in length. Their secondary structure includes four short double-helical elements and three loops (D, anti-codon, and T loops). Further hydrogen bonds mediate the characteristic L-shaped molecular structure. tRNAs have two regions of fundamental functional importance: the anti-codon, which is responsible for specific mRNA codon recognition, and the 3' end, to which the tRNAs corresponding amino acid is attached (by aminoacyl-tRNA synthetases). tRNAs cope with the degeneracy of the genetic code in two manners: having more than one tRNA (with a specific anti-codon) for a particular amino acid; and 'wobble' base-pairing, i.e. permitting non-standard base-pairing at the 3rd anti-codon position.
Source: RNAcentral
AAUGGGAUAGUUCAGUUCGGUAGAACAUUGGAAUCAUAAUCCAAAUGCCGUGGGUUCAACUCCCUCUCUCAUUA